GACGAACGCUGGCGGCGUGCUUAACACAUGCAAGUCGAACGGAAAGGCCCCUUCGGGGGUACUCGAGUGGCGAACGGGUGAGUAACACGUGAGUAACCUGCCCUUGACUUCGGGAUAACUUCAGGAAACUGGGGCUAAUACCGGAUAGGAAUCCUUGCUGCAUGGUGGGGGUUGGAAAGCUUCGGCGGUUUUGGAUGGACUCGCGGCUUAUCAGCUUGUUGGUGGGGUAGUGGCUUACCAAGGCUUUGACGGGUAGCCGGCCUGAGAGGGCGACCGGCCACAUUGGGACUGAGAUACGGCCCAGACUCCUACGGGAGGGAGCAGUGGGGAAUAUUGCACAAUGGGCGGAAGCCUGAUGCAGCAACGCCGCGUGCGGGAUGACGGCCUUCGGGUUGUAAACCGCUUUCAGCAGGGGCGAAGCUUGUGGUGACGGUACCUGCAGAAGAAGCACCGGCUAACUACGUG
Molecule: ribosomal RNA, 465 nt
Filed under: uncultured bacterium
Lineage: Bacteria
Description: partial 16S ribosomal RNA
Rfam family: Bacterial small subunit ribosomal RNA
Source: RNAcentral